Molecule: transfer RNA, 66 nt
Filed under: Echinococcus equinus
Lineage: Eukaryota; Metazoa; Platyhelminthes; Cestoda; Cyclophyllidea; Taeniidae
Description: tRNA-Met
Source: RNAcentral
AAACUAGUAAGUUAAUUAAACUGUGGGGUUCAUGUCUCCAUUUUACACGUUUUUGUGUCUGGUUGA